GAUGAACGCUAGCGGCAGGCUUAAUACAUGCAAGUCGAGGGGCAGCACGAAUAGCAAUAUUUGGUGGCGACCGGCGCACGGGUGCGUAACACGUAUACAACCUACCUAUAACAGGGGGAUAGCCUUUCGAAAGAGAGAUUAAUACCCCGUAAUAAAUUGAGUGGCAUCACUUGAUUUUGAAAGCUACGGCGGUUAUAGAUGGGUAUGCGUCUGAUUAGCUAGUUGGUGAGGUAACGGCUCACCAAGGCGACGAUCAGUAGGGGAUCUGAGAGGACUAACCCCCACACUGGUACUGAGACACGGACCAGACUCCUACGGGGGGCAGCAGUAAGGAAUAUUGGUCAAUGGAGGCAACUCUGAACCAGCCAUGCCGCGUGCAGGAUGACGGCCCUAUGGGGUUGUAAACUGCUUUUGUACCAGAGAAAACCUACUCACGUGUGAGUAGCUGAUAGUAUGGUAAGAAUAAGCAUCGGCUAACUUCGUGCCAGCAGCCG
Molecule: ribosomal RNA, 494 nt
Filed under: uncultured bacterium
Lineage: Bacteria
Description: bacterial SSU rRNA
Rfam family: Bacterial small subunit ribosomal RNA
Source: RNAcentral